This 2778-nucleotide small RNA is filed under the name Pan troglodytes (chimpanzee). Its description in RNAcentral is "retained intron". The record is from RNAcentral. Lineage: Eukaryota; Metazoa; Chordata; Mammalia; Primates; Hominidae.
AAUACUGACACAAUGGUGUAACUCCUUAGCCCAUCAAAAAAAAAAAACUUCCGACUGCAUUAUUAUACUGUAGUAUAGUAUUAGUACAUUAGUUCAAAAUAUAGUUCUAUGCUAACAACUCUUUCCAGGCUGCAUAAACCUAGUUAGAUGCUCUCCUGACUUUCCCAUUUAAUUUGAAGCUAAUUUCUUUUGGGUGUUGUUAAGGCAUUUUUUACAUUUCAUGAAAGGCUUCAAAUGAGAUGAUAUUUAUUGUGAUUUCAUUGUAUAAUCCAAGUGGUUUAGGAGGAGGGUGCAGGGGGGGACUUAAUGUUUUUAGAGUAGAGUAUAAUUUUUCCCUAGUAAAUUGUUAGUUUAUGAAAUAAAUGGAAUCUUUAGGUAAAUUCAUCACAGCAUCUGGAAUGUUAGCAACAUAUGGCUCACUCUUUAUUCUUUCCUCUUGUCAUCUUUUUUUGAGACAGGGCCUCACUCUGUCACCCAGUCUGGAGUGCAGUGGUGCAAUCUCAGCUUACUGCAGCUUCUACCUUCCAGGCUUAAGCGAUCCGCCCACCUCAGCCUCCUGAGUAGCUAGGACUAGAGGCAUGCCACCACACCCAGUAAUUUGUUAUAUUUUUGUAGAGACAUGGGGUCUCACUGUGUUGGCCAGGCUAGUCUCAAAACUCUCCUGAGCUUCAAGCAGUCCACCAGCCUUGGCCUCCCAGAGUGUUUGGAUUACAAGCAUGAGCCACUGCACCUGGCCAACUCUUGUUUCUUACGAUUGCAAGCUGUUUAUGACCUGUAGAAUGGUUUGGUACGCAUCCCCUCAGGCUUCGUUUAUGUACAUACUUGUGUAUUGUGUUUCUGAAAAAAUCAAACCAUACAUGCUCAUCUUUUUGGCAAUUCAGAGCAUUCUAUUGAAUGGAAGGUGUGUCAACAUUACAAUUUUUUCUAGCUGAUAGACACAGUGUGGUUCCAGUUAUCCUUGUAUGUCAUGUUAUGAAUAUGUAAAUUUUUCUUAGAAUAAAUUCAUAGAAGGAAAGAUGCCAGGUUGCUUUUCGCCAGCACGAGUGCUUGUUUACCUACUUAAUUCUAAGGUUGAAAUUUUUUCUUUUGCAUUCUUUCCUACCCAUUCCCAAAAAUACUUGUAGUACUUGCUGUAAUUUUGUAAUUUCUAAGCGGUGUUUGGUCUAAUCAUUAUGUACUUUUCUUGUUAGUGACAUUUUGGCUAGUAUACAGCUCCCUUUUUAAACAACUUUGAUUUUAUGACAACUUUUCCAAAGUUUAAAACUUUUUUCUUCCCCUAGGCAAAUCCUGAUCCUAACUGUUGUCUUGGAGUAUUUGGGCUGAGCUUGUACACCACAGAAAGAGAUCUAAGAGAAGUGUUCUCUAAAUAUGGUCCCAUUGCCGAUGUGUCUAUUGUAUAUGACCAGCAGUCUAGGCGUUCAAGAGGAUUUGCCUUUGUAUAUUUUGAAAAUGUAGAUGAUGCCAAGGAAGCUAAAGAACGUGCCAAUGGAAUGGAGCUUGAUGGGCGUAGGAUCAGAGUUGAUUUCUCUAUAACAAAAAGACCACAUACGCCAACACCAGGAAUUUACAUGGGGAGACCUACCUAUGGCAGCUCUCGCCGUCGGGAUUACUAUGACAGAGGAUAUGAUCGGGGCUAUGAUGAUCGGGACUACUAUAGCAGAUCAUACAGAGGAGGAGGUGGAGGAGGAGGAGGAUGGAGAGCUGCCCAAGACAGGGAUCAGAUUUAUAGAAGGCGGUCACCUUCUCCUUACUAUAGUCGUGGAGGAUACAGAUCACGUUCCAGAUCUCGAUCAUACUCACCUCGUCGCUAUUAAAGCAUGAAGACUUUCUGAAACCUGCCCUAGAGCUGGGAUAUUGUUUGUGGGCAAUAUUUUUUAUUGUCUCUUGUUUAAAAAGUGAACAGUGCCUAGUGAAGUUAGGUGACUUUUACACCUUUUAUGAUGACUACUUUUGGUGGAGUUGAAAUGCUGUUUUCAUUCUGCAUUUGUGUAGUUUGGUGCUUUGUUCCAAGUUAAGUGUUUUCAGAAAAGUAUGUUUUGCAUGUAUUUUUUUACAGUCUAAAUUUUGACUGCUGAGAAGUUUCUAUUGUACAAAACUUCAUUUAAAAGGUUUUUCUACUGAAUCCAGGGUAUUCUGAAGAUCGAAGCCUGUAUAAAAUGCUACCAAAUGGCAAAAAGCAACAAUAAACAGUUUGAUUUUUACUUUUCUUUCUAACAUAUCAGUGCUUAGCAGAACUGUUCAGAUUGUCAGUAGUAAAUUUAAAGACAAAUGCCCGUUUUCCUCCAGUCCAUGAAACAUACCAUACUUAUAUACCUGCAACUAAGUGUUUAAAAUUAUGCUCUGUAACUCUGUACUGCUAGUAUUAGAACUAAAAAUCUUAAAAUACAGCCAGUGCUUAAUGCUUAUAUCAAUGUGGAUUUGUCGGCUUUUAUGUAAUCUGUAAUAUGUAUAGCAGGAAAUACGAAGAGUUACACAGUGUAUGCCUUAAAAGGCUGUUUCUUAAAGCUGUUACAAGGGGAUAAUGGUAUUUCAACUAGUUAUCAGCAAGUGACAAUACAUUCCACCACAAAUACACUCUUGUUCUUCUAGCUUUUAGACUAUAUGAAAAAACCGGGUGCUUCAAAGUACAUGAUAAGGGAACACUAUACCUGUGUCAUGGAUGAACUGAAGACUUUGCCUGUUCAUUUUUUAAAUAUUAUUUUCAGGUCCUUUGCUUACCAAAGGAGGCCCAAUUUCACUCAAAUGUUUUGAGAACUGUGUUUAAAUAAACGCAAAUGA